AUUGAACGCUGGCGGCAUGGUUAAAACAUGCAAGUCGAACGAUCCCUUCGGGGAGAGUGGCGAAAGGGCGAGGAAUACGAUCGAACGUACCCCGAGGUGGGGGAUAGCGUCGGGAAACUGACGGUAACACCCCAUGUCCUCUACGGAGAAAAGGUUUACCGCCUUGGGAGCGGCGAUCGUCCUAUCAGGUAGUUGGUGGGGUAAAGGCCUACCAAGCCGAAGACGGGUAGCGGGUGUGAGAGCACGACCCGCCGCAUCGGGACUGAGACACUGCCCGGACUCCUACGGGAGGCUGCAGUAACGAAUCUUCCGCAAUGCGCGAAAGCGUGACGGAGCAAUGCCGCGUGCAGGAUGAAGCGUCUACGACGUGUAAACUGCUGUCAGGGACUAGGAACAAUGACCAGUCCCAGAGGAAGGGCCGGCUAAUCUCGU
This 432-nucleotide ribosomal RNA is filed under the name uncultured bacterium. RNAcentral's name for it is "bacterial SSU rRNA". It matches the Rfam family "Bacterial small subunit ribosomal RNA", at positions 29 to 506 of the family's 1533-position model. The record is from RNAcentral.